Molecule: long non-coding RNA, 1877 nt
Organism: Macrobrachium nipponense
Lineage: Eukaryota; Metazoa; Arthropoda; Malacostraca; Decapoda; Palaemonidae
Exons: 3
Source: RefSeq, a predicted model, not a curated record
AGAAAAUGUUGAAGUCAUGAUUGUUUUGUAUAGCUCAUUAGCAUUUAUAACUAUCAAAAUAAUGAUCUUGUUUUAAAGAGAAUUCCUCUUUCCAGAAUGAGCCGCCAGAGGAACUUUUUGGAGGCCAUAAUUGACAGGAAGAUCCCAGUGACGUGCCGUUACUGGUCAAAUGGUCGAUGUUACAAUAGCGCAGAUCGCUGCGCUUAUCUCCAUGGGUACUUAUGCAGGAAUGAUGGCGAUUGUCGUUCGCCAGACUGCUCGAAUAUACAUAUGAAACAGAGAGAUUCGUUCCACGUGAGAUCCAGGAGAUACUCGAGGAGUCGCAGCCGCAGCGCGUCGCCUCGGUUCCGUCACCGCAGGAAUUACAAGUCGCCUCCCCGCGGCAAAAACAGAAAUUAUGGGCCGAGCCGGAGCCCGAGCAGGAGUCCCAGAAGACGGAUGGUACGGAGUCGCAGCAGAAGUCCCAGGAGGAGAUUCAGCAGGAGUCCCAGGCGGUACAGCAGAAGUCGGACAAAGAGUCCCAGGAGGAGAAACAGCCGUAGCUUCAGCAGAGGCAGGAGCAGGAGUCCCAGACACCAAAGCAGAAGUCCCCCCUUUGAACGGACAGGUCCCCAAGAAUUCCAGCAAGAGAAGAGCCAGUUCCAGUCCCAGAGCAGUGGGUUCGAGGAAGUCAGCCAAGAUUUUAUUCAAAGUUCAUGCGGUUUUGGAAACACAGAAGAAAUAGAAGAGGUCAGCUCACCUCCAGAAGUGGAGAGCGUCAGUCUAGAUGAAUGCAUUGCCGGACCGACCAAGGUGGUAGUGACUUUGGAUGACGUUGAGGAUGGCCAGAUUCUCACGCCAGAGGAGAACCAUCCUGAGUGCGUCUUUCUCGAUGGCAAGUAUCGGGGUUUUUUGUUGAAGCAUUAUGAGUAGUCACUUUGUAAAAGCCCCUUUCACCUUCCAAGCAUAUCCUGGUUGUUGGGAGAUAUUGAGAUCUGCCUGUGGGAGAAGUCUCAUAUCCAUGCAUGAAUGCAUAGCAUAUUUAGCAGUGUCUUAGUCCUGCCUUACAGUAAUGAGAUCUAUUUAAUAUGCUUGGGUGGUGGUAUUAUAUGUACUGUACAUUUAUUGAUCUAAACAACAGAAAAAUCUCUUAUUAAUUAUGCUUUAAUGCCCCAUAGAUGCAUUAAUCAGGGUGCUUAUAAUGCAUUAAAAGUGAGUGAAAGUGUUUAAUAUUUGGCAAGAUCUUUCCUGCCUAGGCUAAGUGAUGUGCUCAGACAGUGUUGAUAGUUUUUUAACUUUUUAUUCCUGUUGUAACCAUAUAGGGGGAAUGUUAUAAUUGGCCUAUUUAUCUGUGUUUAACCUUUUGCUUUUGUCUGUGAGCUAAAGUUAAAUUUUUUAAAGAAGUACGAUUUUAAUAUAGCAUUUGAAGAUAGAGAUUUCAAACUUCAUGCAGUAUAUAUGGGUGAUAGGGACUCAGGAUUCAAUUUGUUGGAUCCUUGAGAUAGAUUCAUACUUCAAGGUCGAAAGUCAAGCAAGGAUCAGCCACAGAUGACCUUAUAACAUUUGUUCAGUUGUUUGACCAUACAUCAUACAAACAGUCGCUGUACUUUCCCAUAAUGCCAGGUUGUAGCAGAAGAAUUAGGCACUGAUUUCAUACUUAUAAAUGGGCAUUUUCAAUUAACUUAAAAGUUGAACUGGAUACUCUCAAGUUUUACUUAUAUCAUACUUAACCAAGUUGGUACAUUAUGCCAGGUGAUUUUUUUGGAAUAUUAAUCAAUGCACUGGAUAAUAAAAAUAAUGAUCACUGAUGUGGUGAUGAUUUUACAAGAUAAUUUGGCUUUUCUGUACUUAAAUUUGUUAUAAAGCAUAUUUUUUUAAUAACUAAAUACUCAGCCUAC